RNAcentral lists this ribosomal RNA (492 nucleotides) under uncultured bacterium. RNAcentral's name for it is "partial 16S ribosomal RNA". It matches the Rfam family "Bacterial small subunit ribosomal RNA", at positions 29 to 507 of the family's 1533-position model. The record is from RNAcentral.
AGUGAACGCUGGCGGUAGGCCUAACACAUGCAAGUCGAACGGCAGCACAGUAAGAGCUUGCUCUUACGGGUGGCGAGUGGCGGACGUGUGAGGAAUACAUCGGAAUCUACUUUUUCGUGGGGGAUAACGUAGGGAAACUUACGCUAAUACCGCAUACGACCUACGGGUGAAAGCAGGGGUUCUUCGGACCUUGCGCGAUUGAAUGAGCCGAUGUCGGAUUAGCUAGUUGGCGGGGUAAAGGCCCACCAAGGCGACGAUCCGUAGCUGGUCUGAGAGGAUGAUCAGCCACACUGGAACUGAAACACGGUCCAGACUCCUACGGGAGGCAGCAGUGGGGAAUAUUGGACAAUGGGCGCAAGCCUGAUCCAGCCAUACCGCGUGGGUGAAGAAGGCCUUCGGGUUGUAAAGCCCUUUUGUUGGGAAAGAAAAGCAGCAGGUUAAUACCCCGCUGUUCUGACGGUACCCAAAGAAUAAGCACCGGCUAACUUCGUG